RNAcentral lists this ribosomal RNA (236 nucleotides) under uncultured bacterium. Its description in RNAcentral is "partial 16S ribosomal RNA". It matches the Rfam family "Bacterial small subunit ribosomal RNA", at positions 100 to 334 of the family's 1533-position model. The record is from RNAcentral.
CGGGACGGGUGAGUAACGCGUGGGUAACCUGCCUCAUACAGGGGGAUAACAGUUAGAAAUGGCUGCUAAUACCGCAUAAGCGCACAGUACCGCAUGGUACGGUGUGAAAAACUCCGGUGGUGUGAGAUGGAUCCGCGUCUGAUUAGUUAGUUGGCGGGGUAACGGCCCACCAAGACAGCGAUCAGUAGCCGACCUGAGAGGGUGACCGGCCACAUUGGGACUGAGACACGGCCCAA